ACGAACGCUGGCGGCAUGCCUAACACAUGCCAGUCGAACGAGACCUUCGGGUCUAGUGGCGCACGGGUGCGUAACGCGUGGGAAUCUGCCCUUGGGUUCGGAAUAACAGUUGGAAACGACUGCUAAUACCGGAUGAUGACGUAAGUCCAAAGAUUUAUCGCCCAAGGAUGAGCCCGCGUAGGAUUAGCUAGUUGGUGAGGUAAAGGCUCACCAAGGCGACGAUCCUUAGCUGGUCUGAGAGGAUGAUCAGCCACACUGGGACUGAGACACGGCCCAGACUCCUACGGGAGGCAGCAGUGGGGAAUAUUGGACAAUGGGCGAAAGCCUGAUCCAGCAAUGCCGCGUGAGUGAUGAAGGCCUUAGGGUUGUAAAGCUCUUUUACCCGGGAUGAUAAUGACAGUACCGGGAGAAUAAGCUCCGGCUAACUCCGUG
Molecule: ribosomal RNA, 432 nt
Filed under: uncultured bacterium
Lineage: Bacteria
Description: partial 16S ribosomal RNA
Rfam family: Bacterial small subunit ribosomal RNA
Source: RNAcentral